AUUAUACUCCCUCCGUCCGGAAAUACUUGUCCUCGAAAUGGUUGUAUCUAGACAUAUUUUGAUUAUAGAUACACCUAUUUUAUUCACUUUUAGGACAAGUAUUUCCGGACGGAAGAAGUAGGAC
Triticum aestivum (bread wheat) is the source of this 124-nucleotide non-coding RNA. The record is from Rfam. Lineage: Eukaryota; Viridiplantae; Streptophyta; Magnoliopsida; Poales; Poaceae.